GAACUCCUACGGGAGGCAGCAGUGAGGAAUAUUGGUCAAUGGACGAGAGUCUGAACCAGCCAAGUAGCGUGCAGGAUGACGGCCCUAUGGGUUAGUAAACUGCUUUUAUAAGGGAAUAAAAGUGAGUCUCGUGAGACUUUUUGCAUGUACCUUAUGAAUAAGGACCGGCUAAUUCCGUGC
RNAcentral lists this ribosomal RNA (180 nucleotides) under uncultured bacterium. RNAcentral describes it as "partial 16S ribosomal RNA". It matches the Rfam family "Bacterial small subunit ribosomal RNA", at positions 333 to 508 of the family's 1533-position model. The record is from RNAcentral.